RNAcentral lists this ribosomal RNA (274 nucleotides) under uncultured prokaryote. Its description in RNAcentral is "partial 16S ribosomal RNA". It matches the Rfam family "Bacterial small subunit ribosomal RNA", at positions 524 to 798 of the family's 1533-position model. The record is from RNAcentral.
UACGUAGGGGCUAGCGUUAUCCGGAAUUACUGGACGUAAAGGGAGCGUAGGCGGACUUUUAAGUGAGAUGUGAAAUACCCGGGCUCAACUUGGGUGCUGCAUUUCAAACUGGAAGUCUAGAGUGCAGGAGAGGAGAAUGGAAUUCCUAGUGUAGCGGUGAAAUGCGUAGAGAUUAGGAAGAACACCAGUGGCGAAGGCGAUUCUCUGGACUGUAACUGACGCUGAGGCUCGAAAGCGUGGGGAGCAAACAGGAUUAGAUACCCCCGUAGUCCCU